GAACCUGAUACUUAGCUCUUGUAGCGUGGAAGAACCGAAGCUUUGAUGACCCCUUGAUGAACGAAGGCUUCGAGGAGAAUACCGUAGGCGUGACGCAAAUCCUCGAAGCUUCUUACAGAGAGAAGAACACGUAGCAGAAUGUUGAACAAUCUCUAGAUUGAGAGAGAAAUUAGAAGAACAAACCAGAUCUGAGAAGAACAGGCCGAAUCUGAGAAAGGAACUCAGAGAUUAGUAACCUAGACCAGAGAAACCCUAGAAACGAGAGGAAUCACAAAACUGACCAAUCAAUCGGUGGAAAUGAUGGAUUAAAUGGUAGAAAUCAAAGAACAAAUGGUAGAAAGUGUUUCAAUCGGUGGAAAACGAAGAAAAUGAUGAAACAGAUGUAGAUCGAAGAGUUUAGUGUUUGAGCAAAGGAAAUCUGAGUAGAGAACGGUGUUUCUGUGGUACAAAUGGAGAGGAAAUGAUAUUGAAGGAGUGAAGAAGCUUAUGGCUGAUGAAGGUGAACUCUCGAGAGCGAGAGCGAGGAAGGAGAUGCUUCUCAGGCUCGAGAGAGAAAAUGAAGUGCAAAUCUGAUGCGCGAAAUGAAAAAUGAGAAGCUAGUGAUAUGUAUAGCUUCUGAGACGUGGACGAAUGGAGACGUGGUAGCUCUGUUGACACGUGCCACAAAGAUGAAGCAGAGUGGUGGAAAAGUGACGUCGUAGAGGGAGAGAAGACCUUGGGGUGGAAAAUGAGAGAGAUGAAGUGUGCCUUGGAAGGUGGCUAGAGGAGGUCUCUUGGACUCUCUAGCCUUGUGACUUUCAAGAGAGAAUGGUUUCUAUUUCAGAAAUCUCAAUUCUCAUUCAUCUCAAAAGUGCCAAAUACAAGUGAGGAGCUGGGUAUUUAUAAUGUUUGUUUUUAUCUAUUCCUGCACUUUUACUUACAGUUGACUUUACUAUUUGCGUAGUCAACUACAUUGUUUCACUGCACACGAAUUUUCAUUAAUUGCAUUUCAAGAAGGUUUGAAAAGUUUUAUACUUUGAUUUCAAGAUUGCAAAAAGACUUUGAUUUUGAUAAACAAACAAUUCAUCCCCUCGCCCU
Molecule: long non-coding RNA, 1077 nt
Filed under: Vigna radiata
Lineage: Eukaryota; Viridiplantae; Streptophyta; Magnoliopsida; Fabales; Fabaceae
Description: long non-coding RNA (VRAD_LNC014259)
Source: RNAcentral